GGCCCUAUAGCUCAGCGGUAGAGCGUCGGCUUCCAGUGUACUUUGCUAUUUGCAAAAACUCGAAAUUCCGAAGGUCAUCCGUUCAAAUCGGGUUGGGGUCA
Molecule: transfer RNA, 101 nt
Filed under: Sporisorium scitamineum
Lineage: Eukaryota; Fungi; Basidiomycota; Ustilaginomycetes; Ustilaginales; Ustilaginaceae
Description: transfer RNA-Trp(CCA)
Rfam family: tRNA
About the family: Transfer RNA (tRNA) molecules are approximately 80 nucleotides in length.
Source: RNAcentral